RNAcentral lists this ribosomal RNA (494 nucleotides) under uncultured bacterium. RNAcentral describes it as "partial 16S ribosomal RNA". It matches the Rfam family "Bacterial small subunit ribosomal RNA", at positions 28 to 507 of the family's 1533-position model. The record is from RNAcentral.
GACGAACGCUGGCGGCGUGCUUAACACAUGCAAGUCGAACGGAAAGGCCUGCUUUCCCUUGUGGAUUGCGGGUACUCGAGUGGCGAACGGGUGAGUAACACGUGAGUGAUCUGCCCCCAACUUGGGUAUAAGCCUGGGAAACUGGGUCUAAUUCCCGAUAGGACUGCAGGGUGGUGCCUGUGGUGGAAAACGAUUUUCUAGUGGUUGGGGAUGAGCUCGCGGCCUAUCAGCUUGUUGGUGGGGUAAUGGCCUACCAAGGCGGCGACGGGUAGCCGGCCUGAGAGGGUGGACGGCCACAUUGGGACUGAGAUACGGCCCAGACUCAUACGGGAGGAAGCAGUGGGGAAUAUUGAACAAUGGGCGGAAGCAUGAUGCAGCGAAGCCGCGUGGGGGAUGACGGCCUUCGGGUUGUAAACUCCUUUCGACCGCGAGGAAGCCACCUGGUUGGAAGGGUGGUGACGGUAGUGGUAGAAGAAGCACCGGCUAACUACGUG